GGUUGAUCCUGCCAGUAGUCAUAUGCUUGUCUCAAAGACUAAGCCAUGCAUGUCUAAGUAUAAACACCUUUAUACUGCGAAACUGCGAACGGCUCAUUAUAUCAGUUAUAAUCUACUUGAUCGUAUCCUCUUACUUGGAUAACCGUAGUAAUUCUAGAGCUAAUACAUGCAAAAGUUCCCGACUGGUGACGGAAGGGAAGUAUUUAUUAGGUCCAAAAUCAAUGCUGGCUUUCGGGUCAGGUAAUUGAUGAUUCAUAAUAACUAAACGAAGCGCAGUGAGCUUGUCUCGGCG
Molecule: ribosomal RNA, 292 nt
Filed under: uncultured eukaryote
Lineage: Eukaryota
Description: partial 18S ribosomal RNA
Rfam family: Eukaryotic small subunit ribosomal RNA
Source: RNAcentral